This 482-nucleotide ribosomal RNA is filed under the name uncultured bacterium. RNAcentral describes it as "partial 16S ribosomal RNA". It matches the Rfam family "Bacterial small subunit ribosomal RNA", at positions 30 to 507 of the family's 1533-position model. The record is from RNAcentral.
AUUGAACGCUGGCGGUAUGCCUUACACAUGCAAGUCGAACGGCAACAGGCUGCAAGGUGCCGCUUAGGGGCGAAGGGGGGAGUAAUGCAUCGGAAUGCGCCCAGAUGUGGGGGUUAAUUAGUCGUAAGGGAAGGAAAUAUACCAUAAGACCUCAGGCUGCCAACGGGGGAAAGCAAGGGAUCGUGCGACUUGACGCGAUGAUGUCAGAUUAGGUAGUUGGUGGGGUAAAGGCUCACCAAGGCAACGAUCUGCAGCUGGCCUGAGAGGACGACCAGCCACACUGGGACUGAGACACGGCCCAGACUCCUACGGGGGGCAGCAGUGGGGAAUUUUGGGCAAUGGGCGCAAGCCUGAUCCAGCAAUGCCGCGUGCAGGGAGAAGGCCUUCGGGUUUUAAAAUGCUUUUGUACGGAACAGAACAGCUCUAGUUAAUACCCGGGGCUAAUGGCGGUACCGUAAGAAUAAGCACCGGCUAACUACGUG